AUUGAACGCUGGCGGCAGGCCUAACACAUGCAAGUCGAGCGGAUGAAGGGAGCUUGCUCCUGGAUUCAGCGGCGGACGGGUGAGUAAUGCCUAGGAAUCUGCCUGGUAGUGGGGGAUAACGUCCGGAAACGGGCGCUAAUACCGCAUACGUCCUGAGGGAGAAAGUGGGGGAUCUUCGGACCUCACACUAUCAGAUGAGCCUAGGUCGGAUUAGCUAGUUGGUGGGGUAAAGGCCUACCAAGGCGACGAUCCGUAACUGGCCUGAGAGGAUGAUCAGUCACACUGGAACUGAGACACGGUCCAGACUCCUACGGGAGGCAGCAGUGGGGAAUAUUGGACAAUGGGCGAAAGCCUGAUCCAGCCAUGCCGCGUGUGUGAAGAAGGUCUUCGGAUUGUAAAGCACUUUAAGUUGGGAGGAAGGGCAGUAAGUUAAUACCUUGCUGUUUUGACGUUACCAACAGAAUAAGCACCGGCUAACUUCGUG
RNAcentral lists this ribosomal RNA (484 nucleotides) under uncultured bacterium. RNAcentral's name for it is "partial 16S ribosomal RNA". It matches the Rfam family "Bacterial small subunit ribosomal RNA", at positions 30 to 507 of the family's 1533-position model. The record is from RNAcentral.